This 253-nucleotide ribosomal RNA is filed under the name uncultured bacterium. RNAcentral's name for it is "partial 16S ribosomal RNA". It matches the Rfam family "Bacterial small subunit ribosomal RNA", at positions 524 to 776 of the family's 1533-position model. The record is from RNAcentral.
GACAGAGGGUGCAAACGUUGUUCGGAAUUACUGGGCGUAAAGCGCGUGUAGGCUGCUUCGAAAGUCGGAUGUGAAAGCCCUGGGCUCAACCUAGGAAGUGCAUUCGAAACUUCGAAGCUGGAGUCCUGGAGAGGAAGGCGGAAUUCUCGGUGUAGAGGUGAAAUUCGUAGAUAUCGAGAGGAACACCGGUAGCGAAGGCGGCCACCUGGACGGAUACUGACGCUGAGACGCGAAAGCGUGGGUAGCAAACAGG